This 450-nucleotide ribosomal RNA is filed under the name uncultured bacterium. Its description in RNAcentral is "partial 16S ribosomal RNA". It matches the Rfam family "Bacterial small subunit ribosomal RNA", at positions 355 to 797 of the family's 1533-position model. The record is from RNAcentral.
UAGGGAAUCUUCCACAAUGGACGCAAGUCUGAUGGAGCAACGCCGCGUGAGUGAAGAAGGUUUUCGGAUCGUAAAGCUCUGUUGUUGGUGAAGAAGGAUAGAGGCAGUAACUGGUCUUUAUUUGACGGUAAUCAACCAGAAAGUCACGGCUAACUACGUGCCAGCAGCCGCGGUAAUACGUAGGUGGCAAGCGUUGUCCGGAUUUAUUGGGCGUAAAGCGAGCGCAGGCGGAAUGAUAAGUCUGAUGUGAAAGCCCACGGCUCAACCGUGGAACUGCAUCGGAAACUGUCAUUCUUGAGUGCAGAAGAGGAGAGUGGAACUCCAUGUGUAGCGGUGGAAUGCGUAGAUAUAUGGAAGAACACCAGUGGCGAAGGCGGCUCUCUGGUCUGCAACUGACGCUGAGGCUCGAAAGCAUGGGUAGCGAACAGGAUUAGAUACCCUGGUAGUCCA